CAGUCGCCACGGUAAUACGGAGGGAGCUAGCGUUGUUCGGAAUUACUGGGCGUAAAGCGCACGUAGGCGGCUUUGUAAGUUAGAGGUGAAAGCCCGGGGCUCAACCCCGAAAUUGCAGCGGAUACUGCGUUGCUGGAGGAUUGUAGAGGAGAGUGGAAUUCACGGUGUAGCAGUGAAAUGCGUAGAUAUCGUGAGGAAGACCAGUUGCGAAGGCGACUCUCUGGGCAACUCCUGACACUGAGGCACGAAGGCUAGGGGAGCAAACGGGAUUAGAUACCCCUGUAGUCCCUGUCUCUUAUAA
This 301-nucleotide ribosomal RNA is filed under the name uncultured bacterium. RNAcentral describes it as "partial 16S ribosomal RNA". It matches the Rfam family "Bacterial small subunit ribosomal RNA", at positions 509 to 809 of the family's 1533-position model. The record is from RNAcentral.